RNAcentral lists this transfer RNA (77 nucleotides) under Candidatus Cloacimonadota bacterium. RNAcentral's name for it is "tRNA-Arg". It matches the Rfam family "tRNA". Rfam says of the family: Transfer RNA (tRNA) molecules are approximately 80 nucleotides in length. Their secondary structure includes four short double-helical elements and three loops (D, anti-codon, and T loops). Further hydrogen bonds mediate the characteristic L-shaped molecular structure. tRNAs have two regions of fundamental functional importance: the anti-codon, which is responsible for specific mRNA codon recognition, and the 3' end, to which the tRNAs corresponding amino acid is attached (by aminoacyl-tRNA synthetases). tRNAs cope with the degeneracy of the genetic code in two manners: having more than one tRNA (with a specific anti-codon) for a particular amino acid; and 'wobble' base-pairing, i.e. permitting non-standard base-pairing at the 3rd anti-codon position. Lineage: Bacteria; Pseudomonadati; Candidatus Cloacimonadota. The record is from RNAcentral.
GCGCCAAUAGCUCAGUUGGAUAGAGCAACGGAUUUCUACUCCGUGGGUCGGGGGUUCGAAUCCUCCAGGGCGCACCA